RNAcentral lists this ribosomal RNA (291 nucleotides) under uncultured bacterium. RNAcentral's name for it is "partial 16S ribosomal RNA". It matches the Rfam family "Bacterial small subunit ribosomal RNA", at positions 773 to 1060 of the family's 1533-position model. The record is from RNAcentral.
GUGGAUUAGAUACCCUGGUAGUCCACGCCCUAAACGAUGUCAACUAGGUGUUGGGGAAGGAGACUUCUUUAGUACCGCAGCUAACGCGUGAAGUUGACCGCCUGGGGAGUACGGUCGCAAGAUUAAAACUCAAAGGAAUUGACGGGGACCCGCACAAGCGGUGGAUUAUGUGGAUUAAUUCGAUGCAACGCGAAAAACCUUACCUACCCUUGACAUGCCAGGAACUUUCCAGAGAUGGAUUGGUGCCCGAAAGGGAACCUGGACACAGGUGCUGCAUGGUCGUCGUCAGCU